Molecule: long non-coding RNA, 838 nt
Organism: Capsella rubella
Lineage: Eukaryota; Viridiplantae; Streptophyta; Magnoliopsida; Brassicales; Brassicaceae
Exons: 2
Source: RefSeq, a predicted model, not a curated record
GUUCUCUCCUUAGUCUCUUAGAAAUCCUAAAAUCGUGGAACAAGAGAGGAUGGAACAACGAAUUCAUCAUGUUUCAUCUUAGUUUUUUUUUGUUUCGAGGUUAGAUUUACCUAACUCGAUUUCUCUCUCGGAUCUUCAUGGUGUUAAUUCACAAAAAAUGGAUCUCAUGAACGACAACUAUAAUCCACAAGGCGGCAAUCACUUGAAGCAUCGUGUCGGCGAUAUUGGAUUGGAGUCAACGAAGGAAGCGAGCCUAGCUAUGAUUUCAAACCUAUUCUCCCAAAUGCCUCCGUCGGAUUGUCUCACCACGCUUUAGAUCUCAGUGGGUCUGCUAAUUUCACGGCUGCUAGGUUUUGGGAUGCUUCUCAUCCAAAGUCGGUUUCAACUUUAUUCUACGAGAGUCUGUGGUGGAUAAAACUCUUAAAAGCACUGGGAAAGAUAGAUAACAUGAGAAAGGGUAGAGGCUCUCCACCAUUUACAAAUCAAUCACUAAUUUCAAAGAGAUUGAUGAGGUCACCGCCGCUGCAAAUGAUGAGGUCACCGCCGCUCACUGCUCACCGACGCUCAUCGUUGCUCGCUGACGCUCACCAGCCUAUACACCAGCCAUCUCACUAGCCAACGUAGGAGAAACAAUAUCAGUAAACCACACCGCUAGGAACUAUCUCAGACACCACAACACACCACCAGGAACCAUACCAACUACUUCAGCACCUUGUUCAUCAUUCUAAAAACUUUUUACCUUCUCUUAUGUACAUGUUAGAUCUUUUGGAAGUUUAAAGAUUGUGUAAGGCUUUGAUUAGUAACAUUAUGAAUUUGAUUAGCAACAUUUUGGCUGAUU